CAAUAGCGUAUAUUUAAGUUGUUGCAGUUAAAAAGCUCGUAGUUGGAUUUCGGAUGGGAUUUGCCGGUCCGUCGUUACGAUGUGCACUGGCCAGUCCUAUCUUGUUGUCGGGGACUAGCUCCUUGGAUUCACUUCCUGGGACUAGGAGCUGACGAGGUUACUUUGAGUAAAUUAGAGUGUUCAAAGCAAGCCUACGCUCUGAAUACAUUAGCAUGGAAUAACACGAUAGGACUCUGGCUUAUCUUGUUGGUCUGUGAGACCAGAGUAGUGAUUAAGAGGGACAGUCGGGGACAUUCGUAUUUCAUUGUCAGAGGUGAAAUUCUUGGAUUUAUGAAAGACGAACUUCUGCGAAAGCAUUUGUCAAGGAUGUUUUCAUUAA
This 379-nucleotide ribosomal RNA is filed under the name uncultured eukaryote. RNAcentral describes it as "partial 18S ribosomal RNA". It matches the Rfam family "Eukaryotic small subunit ribosomal RNA", at positions 592 to 976 of the family's 1831-position model. The record is from RNAcentral.